CUGCUCCACCUUUAAAUUCAGCUAAAUGUCAAUUGGAUUGACCCUCAACUAUCUUCUGCCAUCCCUAUCCUCCUCAUGACUCUCCCUCAGUUCUCCUUUUCUUGUUUUAUCGGUGGACUUUGUUUGUUGCAUGUUUUUUUCCUAAUCAAGCUAGGAACCAUGAAAUAAGAAAUAACUCAUAUUACAUUUGUUAAUACCAAAGAUUUGAGUAUUGAUUCUCUUGUAUCAUGCCAGGCUGCAAUUCAACUUGCUGCAAGAGGCAGAAGCAACAUAUGAUACAGAUGCAUACCAUUAGACAUCACAUUAUGCCAUAAGGGAUCUGGCAUGACAACCUCCCACUAGAUGGCAUGUGCAACCUGUAUCUUCAGUCUAAUAUCGCUAAGCUUAUUCCACAAUGUACACGUACAUGACAAUCUUCCAGUACAUGACGUGCAACCUGUACCUUAAGUCCAAGUUCCCUAAGUGUUGAACCUGCCAGCAAACCAUUACUCCAGAACGUACACUUACUCCCAUUUUACUGGAUGGAUUUCACCAACUAUGGUUUUUUAACCUAUUAUUAUGUUUCAUCAGUUAUGCAACAAAUUAUGGGCAUUUAGUUAUGGUUUACGAAACCUCUUAUUACCAACCUAAAGAACUAAAGGUUUACGAAACCUCUUAUUACCAACCUAAAGAACUAAACGUAUGCAAUCAUCAAAUGACAGGUAGAACAAUCAUAUAGCGAUGACUCCCAACAAGAUGAGAGGAUAUUUAAGUUAGAUGGAAGUUAGAAAUCACAAUCAUUAUUCUAGAUCAACUAUCCAGCAUUACCCCAUUUGUCGGAUGAAACGGAACACAUUCCCCGGUCCAGGUCCUGGAACUCCACCAAGCUGCUUCCGACCCCAGUGUCUGAAACUGGUCAUUCAUAUAAAAUAUGAGAUGCUUCACAGAAAAUUCGAACUACCGAUUGAACCAAAAUUAUACUGGCGUUCGGGCUCUCACUAGAGAUGCGCAUGAAUGGAGGAUUCGACACGCGGAAGCAUCUGAUCGAGAUCGACAGUCUGCAGAGAGUCUCCGCGAUCCGGCAUCUUUGAACCGCCAGAUAGAUCAACUGUGGAGGGUAAAGAAACCAAGAAUGGGGCAAAAGAUACCGCAGAUAAUAUUACGAUGAAGAACUAAAAACACGGAAAAUGAAACGCGAAAUCCAAUUCGUAGACGAAAGUUGCCGCGCCGUACGCUCCUGAAUAGUCUCCGAGUAGAAGAAGAGAUGUCGGUCGCCAUGGGAGAAGGUUCUCCUUUACCCUUUCCGUCCUCUGCACUUAUACCCGAUGCAUACCGAUGAGUUAGUUAUCCUGGGAGAUGUAUGUGCGUGUGCGUGUGUGUGUGUGUGUGUAUAUAUAUAUAUAUAUAUAUAUAUAUAUAUAUAUAUAUAUUCAAUAACAAUAAUAAUCAUAAUAAAUUAUUGUAUUGUAAAAUUAUUAUUGCUAUUAUUAUAAUAAUAUUGAUAUUAUUAGUAACUUGAGAUAAAGGGUAUUAUGCAUGUUAAGGUUUGAUAGUUCUUUAUGGAUGUAAAUAAUAAAAGAAUGUAAUGUGGUCAUGUAAACGUACCAAAAUACAUGUUUUAUUUAACUCAUAGGCUUAAAUUAACUAGUCCAAGUCAUACAAUUACAUCCAACGGAAAUCUAAAACCUCACAGAGGAGACGGUGCUCCUAAAACUCCAAUAGUACAGUGAUACUUCGAGUUGUUGAAUACAACAGUUGACAGUGCACAAAGUACUUUGGCAGUGUCCACAGCAUAGCAGAAACGAUCCAUCAUCUAUGAGACGAGGUGAAAAAUCUGGCAGCUCGGUUUGUAAGAGCUCUUGCUUGCAGCCUGCUCGAACUUCUUCGUGGCAGCUUCAUUCUCUUGUAAGCCAGUCUGAACAAAAUAUCGUAUCCACCAGGAUGAACUCCGCAAUUUAACCUACAAACCAAAGCACGGAAUUAUCACCCAUUCGGAAUGCUUAACAAAACAAUGGUAAGACUGCUGCAACUAAGCCAUGGUACCAACACGAACAAACACUAUUUUUAUUGUCAGAUUAAGGAGCUUAAAGCGAUGAGAGAUUAAUAUAAAGAACCCUGUAAAUUCACAAGUAUCUCGAUGCUGACUAACAUUUUCAGCAUUCUCGAAAGAAGUAGGCUGCAAGACUGCAUAUUACCUUGACCAAGAUGGAUAACAGAAGCACUGACAAAAAAGAAAAUCACCUUUUUUUGUGUAAAGUUCUCAUCCCAAGCUUUGUCCCUGCUAUUUGUGACCCCAACAUACAGUUUGGUAAGAUUUGAAUUAAGAAUUAUUCAUCAUUAAAGCUCCACAAUAUAUUUGGACUUUAUAAUGUACUCAUUCUAAUUUGAUCAAGCUCUCCCGCAUUCUUUCUAGAUCACCAUUUUUCAAACUCAGAGCUCUGGCAUUGAAUUUAGUAUAAUUUCAUCAGUUGUUAAUGCUCAAAAGAUAACCUCCCAACUUAUUGUUCCUAAAAGCUAGACAGGCUUGCUGUAUCUUUCGGCUUUGUUGGUCCACCCAGAACAAGAUGAAUCUAAUAAGACUGCCCAAUAAAAGAGAGACUGAAGGUUCUAAUUCUAAUAAGAUCACACUGUUAAUAACAUUAUGGCUGACUAAAAGUUGGAAAGCCACAUCGUGUUGAAACAGAAUCAAAAUGGUAGUAGACAGCUGUAAAGCAACCAUGACAAGGUCUAAAUGCUCAAUGGGAAGGGUUGACAAUAGCUUCCCCAUUAAUUGAAGCACCAGCAUAAAAGAUGUAUAUUAAUUGAAGGACAUACCGGUUUUCCAAAUUUUGCAAGCUCCAAAACCUUGGCUCUCUGCUGACCUGGAUAUCCUACAACAUUAGGAACGAUUCUAGAACAAUGAACAUUUACUUUAAAUUUGAGUGACUAACUUGAGAGUAGAUACAACUUUUACAUAAAGCAUAGGUUUUUAUGUUGCACAAAAAUGCCACUAUAAGCAAGGCUAAGAUACAAAACUUGACAAAUGAUGAUCGACAAUAGAAACUAUCCAGAUCUUAUUGGAAUGAAAUGCAGUUGCAAAUUGCUACAAGAACAAGGAGAGAGGACACUGCCAUAUUUCAUUCUCCAUUCAAGAGGAUUACCAUCCCAACAUUCAAGACAGUAUUCAAACUUCACUUCUCCAAUUUAUAGGUUUAAAUGAGCUUACCAAUUAAUUAAUUUCCACGCUUCUAUGAUUUUAUGUUGGUUAUUACUCCAAGUACUGGUUCUUAUCCAGAAGGUAAUGCAUACAAAACCCAUAUGAGAAUACAAACCAUGUGUUAUAACUGUAAGAUAAAGUUGUCUCAAGACAGUUAAAAGCACCACAUAGACAAACCGAAGGCCAAAAUGUGGAUGACAAGUGGAACCUAUGUGGCUUUAAAAGUAAGCUUAGCAGUAAGACCCAAACUCAGAGAUCCUUCACCAGAUAUGAUAAAUUACACCAGAAGUCCAAUUCAACAGCAAUUUAAAAACCAAACAAAAUGAUGAGGCGAUAGACAUCAACUCUGAUUAGUACAAAAUGACAAUGGAGACAGUAAUCCAAUCAUGCUGAACUAGAAGACAAACAUAUUCUCUCGCUAUUAAUCAUGACUGAUUUGACAGUGAUUUUUUCAAAUUCUAACAGAACUUAUUGUUCAUGCCGUAUAGAAAUUAGAUAUCCUUCCAAAUUCUAAACAAAAGUAUUCAUCAUGACAAACAAAAGGUAAUCAUCAUGACUGAAAAGUGUACUCAUCCUGAACAAUGACACCUAAAACUUAUGGAUUUCAAUAGUACCAAACCAGUCCUUUCAAAUCUAUAUGUAUUCCAUGUAACAGAUCCAAGUUCAAUAUUGAUCUUACCAAAGUAAAAUCCUAAAAAAUUUUGAUGUUUUAGUUUCCUUACAUAUUAAACAUUAUUGUGUGUAACCAACCACGACUGCAAAAAAAUAAGGUUUUUGACAUACUCUCAAGGUUUCAAACAGAAUUUGGAAAAUAUUGCUUCAUAAUAGAUUAGCACAAGAUAAAUAAUUACCAGCAAAUAUAACAAGUCCAUCAGAUGAUACUCUUGCCAGGUCUGGAAGUGUCUUGUUAAGGUAUUUUGGAGAUAAGUAAUCCAAUGCAUCUGAGACAAUGACAACAGAAAACGACUUUGGCCUAUAUGGCAGAGAAAAUUUGAUAUCAGCUGAACGCACAAAUCCUUUACGAAUAAGCCUCUUGCAACUACUAUCAGCAUCCUCCAAGUCAUAUGGUUCCACACCCCAAGCUUCAGUAUCAUCUUCUUUUAACAAUGUAGAAACAACCGCACAAGUGUCAGGCCCUACAUGCAAAACCUUGCGCAUGGUUUGACCAUAAGCCUUCUUCAGAAAAGGUAUCGCCCGAUGAACUUCUGAUGUGCAGGAAGCACCUGCGAAUAACGGAGAAAAAUAAUCCAAGGUCGGAAAGGAGAUGGCAAACCAUACAGUUAGAACUACAGCAUAUGACAUUUGGCAAGGCUAAAGGAGCUGUAGCAUCAAGAUUCUUGCUUGCCCCACAUUAAGUUAUAUAAUAUAAAGUGCAAUUCCAAGUCGAUCUCCACCUGAAAUCAACCUUAUUGUAGUAUGAGGCAAAUGGCUUAGCGAAAUAGGCAUAUGGUUACAUUAUAUAAAAAUGAGAUUCAAAGAAAGUACCGAAUACCGUAUCAAACCAUUCUAGACAUCCCAAUCAAAGUUUAACUAUAAGGAAAUAGGAUGUGGCUUUCACCAGAACAGCCAUACAUAUGAAAAGAUUGAAGGGUGGGUGAGGCAGUAUAAAAAAAAGAACCAUUCCAAAAUAACUCUUGAACAGCCCGGGAGAUUUUUUGACACAAUACUGAUAGGAUGAAACGAAGAAAACGACACACACCUUCACCUUUGUGUAUUGCUUCCUUGUCACUGGCCAAUCCACCUGGCCAUUAGAAGGUUAAAUGGCCACAUCACAUGUCAAACGGAAUAAGACAUCAGCUAAUUAACCAGAACGACAGGAAGCUAUUGCAAAAACCACAGACACUAAAAAUCUUUAUGGGAAAUUUCACGUACCAGAGCUGCUGUAGGAGUAACCAAUGAGAAGAAAAGCACCCUGCAAUUCCAGAAAGAGCAUUCUGUCAAUUUGCACGAUUCUGCACCUAUAUGAAGAAAGCAAGGAAGCACCAUACCAAGAGGACCAGCCCUACAGAUAACAAUGGCGUGCUCCGUGACUUUGGGUGCAGUGAGCUGACAAGCGGAAUGCUUGCGCUGUCAGGCAAGCGUCGAGAUUGAUUCACUGCUCUUCUUGCUGCCAUGGCUUCCAGUUGUCGCAAUAUCUUAUGCUGACGAACAACGUAAACGAAGGGGGAGAUCAAGAUAGCAUUCUUACAAGUAAAAAGAAAACCAAAAAGAACUCUUUAAACCUAAUAUACGGUAAAGAGAAGAACAGGACCAAAUCUACAGCGCUAGGUAGAUGGAUCAAGGAACAUCUAGGCAAAAGGGACACCGAAUCCAAAGCGGCGCGACCAACGGAGUUCAAAUCUCGCAAGAAACGGGAAAAAGAAAGAGAUCGAGGGUUUGGCGUUGUUGAAUCAAAUGGAAAUCACCUGCGCUUGCGGAAUCGACGAGCGGCAUCGGAGAUUUGCAGCGCCCGUUGCCCGCCAGAUCUGAGACGAGGCGCUCGACGGACGAACGAACUUUCACUAGAAGUGCACACGCUUACGACCAGUGUCGGCGCAUUUGGGACGCGGAUCCUCUCCAACUGCACUUUUAAGCAGCAUGUCCCAAAAUCCACAUCGCAACCGUCCGUUGCCGUGGUAUCAUUACGGACGCCUUCCGAUUGGGCCGAUCCCGACUUUGACGGCCAAGAAAGUUACACCUUAAAACACACCUCUCAUAACGGAUCAAUGCUUCGCGACCAAACGCGGACGCGAGAUUAAUAUAUCCCCAUUAAUUUAUAGAACUAUUAAUUAUUAAUACUCUUUAAAAAAUUAAUUUUUAUAGUUAAAUUAAGAAUAUUAAUUAUAUUUUCUAAUUAAAGCUUUUUAUGCCUCCCUCUAAUCUAACACUUAUUAGUAUAUUUCACCAGGUUUUAUUAGAACAAUUGGCGGGCUUAUCGGCCCAUUUGGCCCAACUUCAAAUUCGUGCGAGGCUUGCUCUAAAGGAUCCGUUAGAACUCAGUCAAUCCACAUCGGAAUUGAGCUGAUUCCAUCCACUUUGAAAAUGCCAUCACGUUUUGAGAAUCGGAACAUCAAAAAUCUUCAUGAUGACUCGCUCAACAUUAUUGCUAGUAGCAUAUUUGACUAUGUGACUCUGACGCUAAUGCUAAUUUGUGGUCAUAUACGAGGAUAAAAAAUAAAAUUCUGAUAGGAAAAGAUAUGGACGAUAGACUUUGAGUGGUUGGGUUCCCGAUAUGAUCUCUUGAAAUAAAUUAGGUGAUGGUGAGUGUGAGAAAGAUUUAUCCUUUUUAUAGUCGGUCUCUUAGUCACACGAGUAUUUCUUUCCUCGAGUAGUUCAUUUUUUAGACACUUAAAUCGGUAUCAUAUACUUUUAAUUAAAAUUAAAAAUAAAUUUAAAUAAAAAUAAAAUAAAAUCUUAAUGUUUAGUUAGAGUGGUUGCAUCUUGAACACUCGCAAGAUCAAAAGGUGAGAAUCAACCUAUGAGAAUGCAAUCGAAGAAGGAGGAUCUCUUUCUCUCCAUCAUCAUCCAAACGGAGAUCGAGCUGUGGAAGCACUCGACGAACGUCGAUGGCAUCAAAUCGACGAGACGCCCAACCUUUUCUUUGGAGUGUCGGGUGCAGAUCACACAGUGUCCCAUUGGCGAACAUAGCACCACGGAGUAGGUCGAUAAAUGUAACGUCGAUUGUAGCGUUUGAACGAAUGCAAAGCCACACAUCAAAUUAGGGUGCGCGUGUAUGUACGUCACGUCUGACCUCACUCGUUUGACCGAUCUGAAAAAAAGGGAUAAAGUUUAAUAUAACAAAUAAUAUAUUGAUGAUGUAUUAAUAAAUAUAAGUAUUUAUAAUAUGUAUGAAUAAAGCAUCACCUUAUUUUAUGGUGAACUAUAAAAUAAAAAAUCAACACAAGAGAGAUUUUAAGAUAUUAUUUUGUAUCUUAUAAUUAUUAUAAAAUAUGAAAAUUAAAAGAUUUAGAUUCCUACCUUAAAUGUUUUGGGACCAACGUUUGACCACCCAGGAUUUACCGUGGUGAGAGCAGAAGAAAGGACACGGCGACAGCAGCACCGCCCUCUCUGGUCCCUCCGUCUGACCGUCUCUCGACGGUGGCAGGCCUGGAGAUGGCGUCUCUGCUUGUCCGCCAUGGCCGAUUCACGGCCUCGGUAAUUUCUCGCCUUCACGCAAUGCAUGCACGUGAGUUUGCCGCGCUUCAUCUUUGCCCGCCCCAGCCAUUCAAUACUGCCUGACGCCAUUACCGAAGACGAACCAUGCGACUGUUUCCCAGGAUUUACUGCAUGAUCGUUACCUCUCUCUUUCUCUCUCUCUCUCUUUCACGCAGACUGAGACAACUUUCCCGUGCGUGGUUCGAUCAAAAACAACGGGUGUCGAAACCAUAGAAAGCUACAGGGGUUGACGAUCUGCGAGGGAGGGCGCUGUGCGGUUGCAGCAGCGAUGGGGACUGGGGGACGAAAAUGCAUUCAUGGCGAACACCAUCACACCUCCGGCGGUAACGAUGGCACCUUAUCCACUGCAGAAUCCUCUGUGACGCGGGCAGUAAUACUGUGACGGUAGUGAAUGGAGGAACUCUCGAGAGGGGGCUGCGGCUGUCAGCCAUUAACGGUGGUCUCCAUCAUUACCAUUCUUUGCACCAUAAUCAAUAUCAUCGUUAUCGUUAUUGAUGUGUAUAUAUUUCCAACUAGUAUAGUUUCCGCUACCACAAUUAAUAUCCACCAUCAUUAUCAUCAGCGUUGACCGUCAAUGUCACUGUUGUACCUCAGUCGACAUCACUAUUAUUAUUAUUAUUGUUAUUAUUAUCAUUAUCAUUACCAUCAUCAUAAUCAAUAUUAUUUAAAAUAAUAAUAAUAAUUUGUCAACAAUAUUUUAACGAGUCAAUAAUAUUCUUCUGACCUCUCUCACAGUUGACUUAAUUAAAUUAGGUAAGCUAACUACGUGUGUCUUUUUAUCUAAUGAAUCAUGCGCAAUUUUAGCUUGAUGUGGCAUGCAUGAUGUAUUCCUUAAUCAGGUCAAACAGGCUAAGACAAAUAUUGGAUUUAUAGGAGAAGGGAGGAAAAAUAAAUAGAUGAUUGAGAAUAUUUUAGAUACGAGAUUAAAAAAAAUAUAUAUAUAUAAAUUAGUGUAUAAAAGAUUAUAAAUUAAGUGCUGGAAUAAAUUAAGCAAAAAAAAAACCCGCAACUUUCGCUCGACCGGCAGCCGAAAGCAUCGAGAAGACAAAGGAGACAAAGAAAAGAAACGGUGGAGGGAGCUCCAAUUAAUGACAGGCUAAGGUGUGGGUUGUGCUCAGUGGUUUGGGUGUUGGAGUCUGCGCUGGCACUGUUUAGGAGACCGGACCGUCUUUAAUCCGCCAUUAGAUUAAUGGACGCUUUCCCCCAUGGUGGUGGUCUUUGGACACUGCGCGCUUUGUUCCCCACCACAUGCGUCGCCCGUUGGUCUCAGACGCGCUUCCGGACUCGCUAUCAUCAUCAUCAUCGCAAGCGCACACCGCAGAGAAUGAGGAAAUCAGGAUUCCGCUGGAGCAAGUACAAGCAGAGUGUACUGCCAAAAGUGUGGGAAGAAAGCAUGCAGUAAAAGUAGGAGCUUGCUGGGUAAAAAUUAGAGUUUGCCCAGGAGGGAGGAGGGGAGAGAGAGAGAGAGAGAGAGAGAGAGAGGGGGGGGUUGCCAGGCUCAUCUUUGUCCUGUCAAGAGAAGAAGGCGGCACCCACCUGAUGUUCCCGACCUUUGAGCGACCAGAAAAACAAGGGAAGGAAGCCACUUUGCGCUACAAAAGGAGGAGGUGGAUCUGAAGCUAUCUUUCCGUGGAUGUCGAACGGACGUGCAAUGGUCUACUGUACUGCAUUCAGUGUUUGAGGAUCUUAAUUAGUGGACAGGAACAAGGAACCAGAAGCUGGUUAGGUGGAUACUUAGCUAGGUAGGUGUCGGAGUCGAGUUAAGGGGCUGGACGUGUUUAAGGUGCCAACACCUUCACGAGAUCUACUGAAGACACCACAGGAGAAGACUCCAAAAGAACCCGAGAAAAAGAGCGAGUGUUCUACGGAAGAAGGGAGAGAGAGAAGAGAGAGAGAGAGAGAGAGUUUGGGUGGAGGAAAUGGAACGUAGAAGGCAAUAGGGGAAGUACCGCUCGUUAAGGAAUCCUUUCGAUUGUCUCCGCCUUGGCUCUCCUCGCAAGGAGUUGUUAGCUUAGGGAGGAAAGCUGGCGAACCGGUGGUGGGCGGGGAGCGUGGCGAUGGGCGGAAUAGACCCCGUCGUCGCCACCACUCCCUCGACCCCUUCCCUCCAUGUCCGCAACCCCAACGCCCAACUCAGCCCCCACCGCCGAGACCUAGCGGACAACCCCGCUACCCCGAACAGCAGCAGCAGCAAGAACAACAACAACAACAACAACCAUGUCAAGGACGACGACGCCGGCACCGGAGACGACCACUCCGGCGGUGGCGGUGGUGGCCUUGACAUGGUCGAAGCCGGAUCAGGCGGGAGCGGAGGCGGUAGCGGCAACUCCGGACGCCGCCCUCGGGGCCGGCCGCCCGGGUCGAAGAACAAGCCGAAGCCGCCCGUCAUCAUCACGAGGGAGAGCCCCAACGCGCUCCGCUCUCACGUCCUCGAGAUCGUCAGCGGCACCGACAUCAUGGACGCCAUCGCCGUCUUCGCCCGCCGCCGUCAGCGCGGCGUCUCGAUUUUGAGCGGCAGCGGCGUCGUCACCAACGUCACGCUCCGGCAGCCCGCCGCGCCGCCAGGCUCCGUCAUCACUCUCCAUGGACGGUUCGAGAUCCUCUCUGUGUCAGGCGCAUUCCUUCCGGCGCCGUCGCCCCCAGGCGCCACGGGGCUGACCGUGUACCUCGCCGGUGGGCAAGGGCAGGUGGUGGGUGGGGUCGUGGCCGGGGAAUUGGUGGCCUCGGGGCCGGUUUUGAUCAUAGCAGCCACCUUCGCUAACGCCACCUACGAACGGUUGCCGCUCGGCGACGACGAGCCCGAGGCGGCUGCAGCACCACCGGGAUCGGAGGAAAUGCAGUUGCUACAGAGCCCAGGAGGAGAUGGAGCAGGUGGUGGUUCGUCGUCACACCAGCUGCAUGCCGGAUUGGCGACCGACCCCCCUCUCUUCAAUCCACCGCCGAGCCUGCUUCCCAAUGGGCAGAUGCCGCACGAGGUGUUCGGUGCGUGGACCUCAACGAGUUCGCGUCAUCCGCCAUCCUACUGAGUACCAAAACCUCUCUCUCUUUCACAUACAACAUACAUUUCUGUAGAAGGAGAACCAAUAGUCAUGCUGCUAGUUCCAUCUACAUCAUGCCUUCCAUCUUAAUACUCUUGCAUCAUUUUGUGAACUUUUAGACGUGUACUAUUGCUAGUUGCAGUUUCUGAUGGUUAUUUUGGUUUGUUUCUUCUUUCUUUCUCACCAUUUCUCUUCAAUCUAUAUAUUUUGCCCGAGAGAGAGAGAGAGAGAGGAGGAUUUCUGAUUAAUGUCCACUGCUCCACUGCAUCUUUCCUGAGUCGGCUGUUUCCAUUUCAAGUUUGGAUGAGGAUGUUGGGGGGUUGGAGUGCAUGCUUCAAUGCCAAGAAAGGGAGAUGUGCACCCAUGCUCUAUUAGGUUUGGUCUUUUCUAGGUAAGAAAAAGAACCCAUUAGAGACAAUGGUGGUAAAACGUUAGGUUGCAAGUUGCAGGAAUGGCAUAGUGAUCCUCUUGUUCUCUUUUCCCUUUCUGCCAUCUGCGUGGCGUAUGAAACUAUAAGACUAUCAGUUGACUUAUUACAUUUAGUUUUCUGUUUUCGCUGGGAAUCAAACUUUGAGUUUGUAUUUAUCAGAAUUAGAGCUUCAUGUUCUGAGAGGUUGAUCUGAGAUCAACUAUUGUUAUCUCAUGCAGCCAUCUCGCUUGCUACUGAAGUCUAUCCUUCUGAAUUGCACAAGCAGAUAAUCGUAUUUAGUUUUCAGGGUCGAAGGCUUCAGUGAGGCUACCAUUAGAUAUGAAUUCGCUUAUUUGAAACUAGAUUGAUAUAUUUUUCAAAUGACAUCGAAAAAUGAUUGCUUAUGUUUUUAGACAAACAGAAUUAUCUAACUCAUAAUCUAAAAUUAGUAACAAUUAUUUUUACCCUAAGGAUUUGGAGACAUUAUUUAUAUAGGCAAAACCAAAUUCAUCCGAAACACAGAAUUGUUUCAUGAUUUAACCUGCAAUUUACACGUUAUUAAGUUUUUUUUAUGAUUUAACCUACACUUUACACAUGAUUGAGUUUUUUCAUGAUUUAACCUGUACUUUACACAUGAUUGAGUUUUUUCAUGAUUUAACCUGUACUUUACACAUGAUUGAGUUUUUUAUGAUUGUCAUUUUAUAGGGAGACUUAGAUAUUAAAGAUUAUCCCAAAGACUAAAUCAAAAGUAAAUUCACUCUUUCGAUUUGGAGAUAAACAAGUCAUCACGCAGGAGCCUUGUGCACCGGUAAUCUUGCCGGUGGGCAAUGGCAGAUUGCAUGCAUCUCCAACCAUUUUACACAUAAUUGCUUUAUAGGUUUUCCUUAUGUUUAUGUGCUAAUAUCGUGUGAAUCUUUUAGCAUCAUAUCUUAUAGUUUACAUGAUCAUAUUGGUCUGCCCAUAUACAGAAAUGUGUAGAUGAUGAUAUGAACAUAUGUAUUUUAACAACUUAAGCCACUUGCCAUUAUUCUUCAACAUCUUUGCUUAUAUUCUCCUCAUUUUUAGCUUUAAUGUAGAAGAAAAUGAUCCAAAUUCAUAAUUGGAUAAACCAUUUCCUAUGACAGUGCCUAGCUUUCCCUAUAUUAUUAUUAGCUCCAUUCUUGAACUAUUCAUAAUUCAAAUAAGUACUUGACCAAAGCUUGUGUUUAUUUAUGCUAUGCAUGUAGGUAGCAGCAGAAAGAUGAAACUCCAAAUCCAUGUUGUUUCUGCUACGGAAACAUGAGUUCAAUUUUAGGCAGCCUUCAUCUGUCUACUAAACCAUUCCUUUCUCAAUAAAAUACUCUACUAAACUCAAGUGCAACCUUCGUGUUUCUGUUUUUAAUGUUUCAUUUAUCAUUUGGUUGCCUAUUUCCAAUUAAGAGUUGUAUACUAUUUGCAGUGAUCUAUAUAUAUCACAAGGUAUCAUUCAUUUCCCUUUGACAACUAUUCAUGGACGAUUAUUCAUGCCAGAGACGACUGACGACAUUCAUGCAGAUUACUGGUCAAGUAGUUGUUUGAUGAACAAGAUCCGAGUAUUACCUGGAAACCAUCUGUGGAGGUGAUGUUAGAUGCAACAUCCAUUCGCAUGAUCCUUCGUGGUUGCAAAUGAAGAAUAUGAAACCUGCUCACAGGCAAUUGACGAACUCUAUUACUAACAAAAAUAUCAACAAAAGGAAAACUGAUGACUCUUCUUAUCGAGGGGCAAGAGUAGUUCUGAGUCACCAGAAACCUGUUGUCUUAGUCGUCUGUGGUCAAAAGGCAAUCUCCUGCGCUGCUGUCUCAGACCUUAUCAAAACAAUGUGAGGACAGUCGGUGGAGCUUCUCAUCUCUCUUCGCUCGGUUCAUUUCAUCACAUGGGCUCACCAAACCUUCUUUUCUGAAACAUAUCCUGAAAAGAAGAAAGAAAGCUAAUUCAUUGCAUUUGUUUUGCGGUGUCAUUAUCAGAAGUUUCCGGGUCAAAGGCCAUUAGUUUAUAAGCUUCUGCGGAAAAUUCAAAGGGUGGGUAAACAAUAAACUUCCAACUACAGCAGUGGAGAGUCAAACCAGAUGCACCCUUAUCUUAUGAGCGCACUUUGUCAACGAAGUUAAAUACGGCACUGGUUUAAGGAAUUCUAAGUGAAUUUGAUGUUCCGAUUUAUGCCACUUUGGUUUUGAUAUUCCACUUUAACCGAGCUGCUCUCAGUAUGGCUAAGGACAAGUUUACUUCUGUAGGAGAUGAUAGGGCUCCCAUCGUCCUUGUUCUAUCGACUAUUUAGCUUCCCACUCUCUCCUGGAGCGUGUGUAGUGUAGAACACAACUGUACUUCUCAUAAUACCAACAACCUCUCUGGGUCCUCUCACCCUGAGUUGUGAAGCAAGUCCCUGGUGGUGCUGGGGAGCGAGAGAACAGGGAGACGUGAUAUCAAGUAAGUACAACAGUGUGUAUAGGGAUAAAAGAAAGGAAGUUGUGGUAGCAAGAGACGGUACCUUUCCACACCACGUGCUUGCAGAAUCUUUCACAUCAUUGAGCACAAUAAAGGGAGGGGUGUCGACAUCCGGCGCUUGCCGCUUUCUUAUCCCAAUGUCCGGUUGCAUGCAUCUUCACGGCACCUGCACGGUAGAGGAGCGUUGGCCCAAUCUGCGCCUCCGACUCGCCAUCAACUCGCGCUUUGUCCUGUCCCUGUGGUGGGCCGCCAUCUCUGCUUCGGCUUUGUUGUGCUGACCUCUCGAACAGUUAUCGAACGUGUGUAGUUUAUCCGGAUCUGCGUUGGACUGAGAGAAAAAUCUUGGCAUGGCAGAUCCGAAGGUCUCGUUUCCUCGUGAAACAGCAGGUACAGCCACGGAUUCCAUUCGUUGCACGAAGGGAACAUAAUUGCAGUGAACCUGAAAGCAUGACGAUAAAUCUUUAAGUACGAUAGCGAAAAUUCAUAGAAUUAUUUGUGAUGUAACUAUGUAUCGGCUUGCAAAGACAGGUUUGAGAUACUUCAGACAAAUAAUUUUGCAUUGUCAGUGUGCACAAGGUUGAAAGGGUAAGACAGACAUCAUAAGUUAGGCCUUUUUGAUGCCAAGGCAACUCAUAUUACUAGUACUAUGUAUAGAAUGUCAACUGCAAAGCAAGUGGAUUACAGGUUAUAUCUGCAGCAGUUAAUUCUGAUUUGAGGUAGUAAAGGAGGUCUUGCGCAUGGGAGGCUCUACCACGUCUUUCUUGACAGUGUUCCUAUCAAUAAGUUAACCACAAAGUCGAAUCAGUCUUCACUUGAAGAAAAAAAGAGCAAUUAAUUUUUUCAAGUACUAACACUCACCAAUGAAGUUACUACCUUUACCCAUUUGGGAUCUCAAUAGUUGCGAUAUGACUAGAGCUUUCGAUUCUCAAUACACCAUAUGCACCACAAGGUCACUUUUUCCUGAGGAUGUUAUCGAAUACCAAAUACUGAAGAAAUAUCAUGCCGAGGCCCUCGCAGCUUAUGAUGGAUGAGACUUUGAACUACAAGGAACUAGCAUAUAGAUCCUAAAGGAAGUAUCAAGUACAAGAUGUGGCUAGUCAAAGCAAAGUUAAAGCCUUAAAGUAAUUCAAGCUCCAACAGAAAAAAAAAAAAAAAAAAAGUCUUUAUAAAGCUAUAUAUAAAUUCCAAGAAGAUAUAGCAGUCAUGUGUGCCAAAGUUGCACCACAAAUUCAACUCAAUGGCAUCCCUAUUUUGCCACUUUAGCUGACAAAGUAAAAUAGAAUGCAUAAAACAGUAUGCUAUACGAAAAGAUGUGCUUAAUCCUUACGAUGAUUGUCUAACACAAAGUGGAGGUGAUGGAGGAAAACUUUAUCUAUGGAGACAAACAUUUAAUGCAUAAUGGCCUUUCUUUAAUAUUUAGGCAUAUCGGUCUCUUCAGAAUCCUAAUGAUACCUAUGAAUUUCACUGCUUGUUUCUGUUUUGCUCUUAGAUAUCUUCACAGAUAAUAUGACAACAUGACUCUCUGUAUACCAUCACUAAACGAUUUAUGGCAUCAAAUACAGAAAGUUCCACAUAAGAGCUUUUAAGGACCAGCUUAUUAGACACUUCUUUGGACACAGAUGCAUCUCAUGUGGUCAUCUUGGACAAAUGUCAUUUAUCAUGAGAAAUACCAUUUUCGAAUGUUCUUUACCCUUCCGUGACCAUAUUCCGUUUUGUUUGAAGAUCCUGCAACUUGUUUUGUACAUGUCUUUUCAGAAGAUCCAAUUGCCUGUCAAAAAUAUGAUUAAUAAACAUCCAUACAGAAACUAGGUAGAAUGCGCUAUCGGCGAUUAAUGAGUAUUUGCACAAAAAAUCACAAAAGCAAAUAAAGAAAAAGGAAGCAUGGCGCUCAACACCAGCAUCUGUACCGAGCACAUCAAACUUAUUUACAGUCACUAACUCAGUGAUAUCAAAAGCAAAGUUGACUGAAAAACAUCAAAGGGCAAAAAGAUUGUCGUUGUAGAACUUAUAAAUAUGUGAUUCAAAACAUGUGUGGUCACAACAAAUAAAUUUAUCCGUAUGCAACUUUAUCCAUGCAGCAGUCUUUUCACCCUAUGCAUUUAUGAAUAUUGGUUGAAAUAAAAAGUGAGACUCAUAUGAAAACAAGAAGUGACUCCCAGCAUAACCGAGUCCAUCCCCAGUCGAUAAACCAUGUGAUGAUUCAAAACAAUAUGUACAGAUAAUUAAUUCCAUGGAACCCACACCAAAAAUAGUGCAGCACAUGAGAUGGGGAUGGGAAACUAACCUAAACAUUUCAUUGGCUAGUCCACGUUCAUAGAAUGAGCUGAUUCCGAUGGAAAUACAAACCUCAACCAAUCGCAGUCAACAAACAGACUCGGAAUCGGCAAGCGAUCGGUUAAGAGAUUCGGAAACAUUUUACAGAGAGCUGCUGCAGCUCCCGUCUUCACAUUUUUCUUUUUGCAGGUCAGAUUUCUAAUUGUUGCACCAAAGACUUAACAGGCUGUCUCUGCUACCUGUUUUAUCUAUUUUAUAAAGGACCCACAUGGUAAUUCUUUAGAGUCAUUCGAGUCACUCUACUACUUUUUUUUUUUCACUUCGCACUCCACCUUCCAUCCUUGCCAUGUUCAGACUUUUCCACAAUAGCCAUCUUAUUUUCUUGCUAUCCCAGAUUUCUGCCAUCAAUUCCUUAGAUCUAGUUUUCUGACUUCCUUCUGUAACCUAAGUCUAGUGAGACCAUCUCCAAUUCCAUUUUUUUUGUAUAAAGAUCACAGUUCACGGAUUCUAGUGAAAUAAUUAAGCCAGAAUGUGUUAGAAUUUUAAUAUACUUGCCCCCUGUUAUAAGUAUCAUAUCAAGAAUAUUUAAGAGAAUAUUCAUGUCUGUUAUUAGGGUUUGAAAGAUUCAGGCAGCAUAUAUCGGGUUUGAUACAUAACUUAAGAAUCUUAAUCUUUUGGAUUAAAUUAUUGUUCAAUUUCAUGUAUAUUAACAUUGGCUAGUUUGACUUUAGAUUCAUUGUUAAGUUCAAUAUGAUAUCAAAAUUCAAAGCCAAGAUCCUCAAAGGAAAAAUAAGUGAGUAAAAAAAAGAAAGCUAGAUGUUGACCACAGUCAAGUAAAAAAUGAGAACAUGUCUAAUCGCUCUUUGAUAUAUUCUUAUGAAUAAAGGAAAGAUGUUAAAAGAAUAUUUAUGUAUGAGGUGAAGAUUAAAAGGACUAGAAUUGCCUUGCAUAAUUAAGGAUUAAAAAAGCUGUAUGAUAUAUUAGGUUUGGCACAUAGAGUUAAAAAAACUGAAUGAUUUCUAUGAAACUAUAAUAACUAAUAGAGUUAUGUCAUCUCAGAAUUUGUAAGUGGUCUAUGAUCACUUCAAUUAAUCAAAAAGUUAAUUGCUUUGCUGUAUAACCAAAAAGGGAGAUAGGGAAAUUUGCUCAAAACAUAAGAAAGAUGUAACAAUGUAAUUGACAAUAGAAUAGCAGAAGUAAAAUGUUGAUCACCUCUUACGUUGAGUUUCCUUCCUUUUUAAGCUCAUGUUUGCAGAAUGACCUCAGGAGCCUGGAGACUGAUCAACAGCUAAUCCAUCAAAAGAAUACUCUUCACGAAUGAAUUCAUUAGCAUGGGUCCUUUGCUUUCUCAUACCUGCUGCAGAAUUGUUACCAUUCAUCGAAGACACAUUCUCCCCGAGCAUUAGAAUCAGCAUGGAUGCAGAGAUAACUUGAGAAUCAAGUUUGACAUUAGAGAAGAUAAAAGAAUGAACUUAACCUGACAUGGCUAGCUUGUUUCCCCCAAACAUUUGUUAUUGGGCUGUUAUGCCACCAUUGGAAUUGUUCUGUGAACUGAGCAGAAAUCCCCAAAGCUCCUCAAGAACUUCUUUUCCAGAAAUCCCGUGAGUUGGAUCUGAAUCUGUUUCCCAUCCACCACCUGCAUAACAACUUAAAACUAAGCAUCUGCAUUCUGCACAACUGUGAUAUACUUAAAAGCAUAGACAACGAGAAGUCCAUAAACGAAAGCCAAUGAGGGCUUCAUCCUCAAACCCAAGAAGGUCGCCCUACUCGCAAUCCUUGGCCUUAUCACAGUAAAUCCAUUAAAGACCGAAUCGGUUCCUUCGAUCGCGAGAAAGAGGAUUUCGCUUACCAGGAACAGGAAGAAGCCGCCCGACGUCUUCUUCCCCUUCCUCUAGGGAUUCGAUGCGAGGGCCACGAGCGGGUGCGAGAGCGCAGGCGGCAAAGAUGGUUUCGAAACGCAGAGAUCGCGCAUUUAUAGUUGGGCUCGCGCGGGGAACAUCGCCGUGUAUUGGGCCUCACAUUUGGCCCACUAGUGGAUUCAACAGGCCAAGAUAAUGGGCUGAUCCGUAGAAGUAAAUAAGCCCAUCGGUAUCUCCUGAGGACCUCAUAGUAUAAGAAUACGACUCUUCCAUGUAUUUGGCAUUACUGUCACUCGGGUUGGCUAUUCGACCAAUAAUAGAUUCGAAUUAAGUAAUAAUAAUAAUCAUAUAUGCCCAUGUUUUUGGACAUAUGGUGACUUAUUUUAUGACAUAAAAUAGAAAAAAAAUGAAAUCAUAUUAUUGGUGAUGAGAUAUUGAUCGAAAAAGAAGAAUUCAUCAUCCGUAAUGAUCUUAUAAUUGCAUAUCUAAGAGUUCAUAUAAUAGGACAGAUGAUCAUAAAAAUUGAAAGAGUAUCCUGAGAAUCAUGGUUGGAGAUAAGGUGAUGAUCAAAGUUAAUUACGCGUCAAAUUUGAAUAUUUCGGAGUCAUUCUUUAAUAUGGUACUAGGGUGUCAAUCACAUAUUGUUAAAUCGUCGAUCCGAAGGUGUAUACCACAUGUUACUGAGGUAUCGACUAUAUAUUGCUGAGUGUCGAUUUUUUUAUUUCUAAUGGUUAUUUCAUUUUAUUUUCAUUCUUAAGUUUAUAAUAGUAUAAGACAGCUUUCUAGAUACUCCUCACUUGCUCCUUUCAUUGCUUUCAACUGCAAUCUUCAUAGUGGAUGAAAGGAUAAGUCCAGUUUAGAAGAAGCUCUUCGUGUUGUAGUGGCUAAGUGUGGUUUGGUAGUUCAGACAGCAGGAGCAAAAGUAGAGUAUGUUGUGCACCUUCUUGUUGAUUUGCAUGUCCUUCUCAAUUGUUUUUAGCUUAGCUUAUCAUCCACCCACUGUUACUGAGCCAGAUUGAUUUUGAAGUCCCAACUCUUAUCUGGAAAGCUUCGAUAGAAGAACCUUAAAACAAAAGCUUUCUGGGGAGGAAGAUGGAGAAAAAUUGUUAGGACCUUUUGUGCCAUUUCGUUUGCUGACCACACAGAUUUCUUGCAAGAAUUCCUGGCUCUCAUUUCUUCCUCAGGCUUAUCUAUCAUCUGCAGCUUCUUGACCAAGUAAGAGAAGACAAAGUUUUGGUGUCUUGUGAUUCUGAGGAUUCUAAUUGGUAGUAAGGCAACCAAUCAAAUUUUGUGUUGCCACAGUCCUGCAAUAAUGACAAUUGUUUUGCUGUCAUGGCCUUCCGAAAUAUUUUGCACUCCAUUCAAUUCUUUCGGGAUGAAAAGGAUGCACAAGAAAACAUAGGGCCUCUGUUUUCUUAAUGCUUUCUCUCUGCAUUUUAUCUGGUGAUGAGCACCCAAAGAACAUCGGGUGGCAAAGAAGACAUCGGCGCUCACAGCCACACUCCGCUCUCUUCCUCCACCGAAGCCACACGCAUCUGAAUGUUCUGAUCCGGACGCUGCUCACGUAACACUGUGUUAUCGGCUGCGGCGGCGACGCGUGUCCCGACCCUAAUCUCGAGCCUGUGGCUCUUACAGUCCAUCAAGACGAUCCACAGGAUCAUCAUGAGGAAGAAAGAGCUCGGAGAUUGCACUCCACACCAUGGUUCAGUCCACAGCCUCCCCAUAUAAAAUUGCUCCCACUUCCAACAAGUUUGGCAUUCGAGUGGUGCGGCUCGUCUUCCUCGAUCUCCGUCCGUCGAAGCUUUUCGGCUAUCUGUCUCGCUCUCUCCCUCGGCUUCCAGAUGGCUGCCGCUGUCUCCACCGUGGGAGCCGUCAACAGAGUGCCGGUACUGCUGUCUUCCGCCCACCUUUCUCUUCGUCCUUGUCGAGAAUUCUCGGUUAUGUAGAUCUGUUUCUUGCUCCAGUUGAGCCUGCAUGGCUCUAGUUCGGGAGCCCCGGUGCCGAGCUCGGCUUUCUUCGGGAGCAGCCUGAAGAAAGUGAACUCCGGUCCGAGCCAUGGGAGGAACUCCACCGCCACUUUCAAGGUCUUGGCUGCUGAUCUCGAUGAGUCGAAGCAGACUUCCAAGGACAAAUGGUCAGGGCUUGCCUACGACGUCUCCGACGACCAGCAGGACAUCACCAGGGGAAAGGGCCUCGUCGACUCGCUCUUCCAAGCUCCCAUGGGCGACGGCACUCACAUCCCCGUCAUGACCUCCUACGAGUACAUCAGCCAGGGUCUUCGCCAGUAAGGAACCAUUCGAUAUCUUGAUCUAUCAUAGCUUUCAGCCUUCUUCCUCGUCGGUAUCCACUGAACCGUUUGGUCUCAGAUACAACCUCGACAACACCAAGGACGGCUUCUACAUAGCUCCGGCUUUCAUGGACAAGCUUGUCGUGCACAUCACCAAGAACUUCAUGGCCCUCCCGAACAUCAAGGUAAUCCCAUCCUACCUCAUCUCAUGCGGUCGCUGCCAUUGAUUUCUGGUUGAUGUGGAUUCUAACUGGGCGGUGACAGGUUCCCCUCAUCUUGGGUGUCUGGGGAGGCAAAGGCCAAGGGAAGUCAUUCCAAUGUGAGCUCGUGUUCGCCAAGAUGGGGAUCAAGUGAGUGCUUCCUUGAGUUCAUGACAUGUUGUUACGGCUCAGAGGUCUUUGGUGUCUCUCGUUCAUGCUCCGUGUCGAACACUUGGCAGCCCUAUCAUGAUGAGCGCCGGAGAACUGGAAAGCGGCAACGCAGGUGAGCCAGCGAAGCUGAUCAGGCAGCGGUACCGUGAGGCAGCAGACAUCAUCAAGAAGGGGAAGAUGUGUUGCCUCUUCAUCAACGACCUCGACGCAGGAGCGGGAAGGCUCGGCGGCACCACCCAAUACACCGUCAACAACCAGAUGGUGAACGCCACGCUGAUGAACAUCGCCGACAACCCGACCAACGUGCAGCUCCCGGGAAUGUACAACAAGCAGGAGAACCCUCGCGUUCCCAUCAUCGUCACCGGCAACGACUUCUCCACUCUCUACGCGCCUCUCAUUCGUGACGGCCGUAUGGAGAAGUUCUACUGGGCGCCGACCAGAGAUGACCGCAUCGGCGUCUGCACGGGCAUCUUCAGGACCGACAACGUCCCCACGGAGGACAUCGUCAAGCUCGUAGACUCCUUCCCGGGGCAGUCCAUCGGUAAGCUUCCCAAAAACACAAGAUUCACAUGAUCUGUCACCGACUCAUCCGAUCGCAUGUAUCUCCAUGGCCAACGUGCAGACUUCUUUGGUGCUCUUCGGGCCAGGGUCUACGAUGACGAAGUGAGGAAGUGGGUGGGAGACAUUGGAGUGGACAAGGUUGGAAAGAAGCUGGUCAACUCGCUCGAAGGGCCACCAACCUUUGAGCAGCCCAAGAUGAGCUUGGAUACGCUGAUGGAGUAUGGCAACAUGCUGGUGAAGGAACAGGAGAACGUGAAGAGGGUGCAGCUGGCCGACAAGUACCUGAGCGAGGCUGCGCUCGGAGACGCCAACGCAGAUGCCAUGAAGACUGGCUCUUUCUACCAGUAACUCCAUGAUGGUUGCAGGCAAAGCAGCCCAUCCGUCUCUUACGAUCCUCGAUGAACGCAGAGCUGCAUGCAUAAAUUCCAGGCUUGUAGUUUGUGUGGAUAAGUGGGCGAAUAUUAUUAUCAGCCUCUGUAUCGGUGAUACAUAUAUUAUGUGCAUUUUCCUCAGUUUUGGAAGGC
This 21114-nucleotide long non-coding RNA is filed under the name Musa acuminata (dwarf banana). RNAcentral describes it as "long non-coding RNA (MACU_LNC006813)". Lineage: Eukaryota; Viridiplantae; Streptophyta; Magnoliopsida; Zingiberales; Musaceae. The record is from RNAcentral.